This is a long non-coding RNA of Phyllostomus hastatus (greater spear-nosed bat), 1888 nucleotides long. RefSeq lists it as uncharacterized. NCBI's taxonomy places the organism in Eukaryota, Metazoa, Chordata, Mammalia, Chiroptera, Phyllostomidae. The record is from RefSeq and is a predicted model, not a curated record. The transcript has 3 exons.
GAGACCCGGUCGCCAGUCCCUGCCCCAACCGGUCCUCCUAGGGGUGGUGGAGAUGUGGGCCGCAGAGCUGCUUGGCCUGGCUGUGCGGAUUCCCUAAACGCCGCACUUGAGCACGGCCCCUUACGUAACUGUCAGCGCCGGGGAUUCCCUAGAGGGGGUCAUUCUAUUCAACCAUUACACACACCCCGGGCUUCUGCAGCCGCUCCGCCGCCGCCUCACAAAAUGGCGGCGCCCAUAGAGGAGACAGCGGCCGCCUCCUCGGCCCCAUUUUGUGGGAGGCGAGAGAUCUGUCAACAUGGAAAACCGCUGAGGAUGCAUCUGAGUUUGAAAAGCCUGUUUAAGGGAUGCAGUCGAAGGGAUCUCAUUCAACGGAAAAUGUCAGCGACUUCCAGCACCAUCUCCCCGCUCUUUUUUUCCAUUUUCUUGAAGGUAACGCCAGAAGCCUCCAGGGUAAUUGUGACUGAGAGAAGAAGGGAAGGCUGCGGCUGACUUCUCCCGGGACAUGCCGCGGCGUCUUUGGUGGCUUUGGUUGCUCUUCUACGCUGCCUGGAGCUGAGCGCGAUGCCGCGGAGGCUCGCCUGGGCCGCAGCGACCCUUUCCGAGGGGAGAAGACCGGGCGACACGGGGCGCAACCGGCGUUCUCUACCGGGCCACUUGUGCAGCGAGACUUUUAGAUGUGACGAUUUCCCCCAGGAAGUAUUGGAAGAUAUGGAGCCAGGCCACAUGUCUGUGACCAUGAAUGCACAUGACCUCAACAAAUGAAAAAGGUGUCUUUAAAAGAGCCUGGGGAAAGAGAGUUGAAGAUGUAGAAUAGAUAUAAAUAAAUAAUGAAACAGGAUCCUGACAAGACAGAAGAGGUGACAUUUUGUGGAACAAUGUGUCUUGAGCAGGAAGGAGAAGUAUGUCUCUUUCAUCAACUAGAACUAUGUGGACACAGGUGCAUCUGGAGGAGAGAGAAGACUGGAAUUGUUGGAUGAUGUCACUGAAGCCAAGUCAACUUUUAAGACUUGAUAAGGGAAUGAGGGCGGGAUUGAGGUGCAGGAACCUGAAAAUUCCCUUUAAAAGCGGAGAAACCUGGAAAUCAUGGGAAAUGGCAGCACUGCCAUUUGGGGCCCUAUGCUUUGACAAUAUUUCCCUUUAGUAACAGAGACACCCACACUGAGCUGCACCAGAUGGUGUCUGACCAGCACAGCGCAAAGUGAGAAUGCUGUCUCCCUGCAAUGGUCAGUUCCCUUGUUUCAGAUCUUAUGCUUUUCAUAAUAUAUCCUCUGACUAGAUAAGCUAUUUUUUUUUAACAGCUCUUUCAUAGUAAAAGACCAAGAGAAAGCAUUUCUCCAAAAAUCAGGGUCAGAGGAAAAUUUGAGUAAUGAUUAUUGUUCAAAAGAAUGAACUACUUAUAAAAGUUGAGAAUUAAUUCAGAAAUUGUUAUUCAAAUUGGAUUGGGAAACUAAGCAUUUUCAGCAUAGUGACAAACACAAGCAAGAACUAGCUGAAGACAUGAAGGCCUGGUAAAUGUUUUAAAUGUCCUUUGAAUUUUAAAUGCAGAUUUCAUAGACAUCUAGUAAGUAUCCUAUAUGGAUAUGCUAUUAUUUCCAACUCUCAGUGACUUAGUUAGAAACCAAGUUCAACAAUAGAUAGAUUUUGUUUUCCAGAACCUUGUUUUAAAAUGUUUUAUUUAUUCACCAUUUCCUAUUAUCCUGCACCUGGCCACUUGACACUCAGGUUAAUUUCCUCACCACUAAACCUAUUUGAGUUUGUUAUCCUGCUCCACUCUGCUCUAAAAUUUACCAUUCAAAUAGAUCAGCCAAAAGUUAUGCCAAUCAUUGUAUCAACCUCAUAUAGAAUUGCUUUGUACUGAAUUGCUGUUUUGUGUGCAAUCAUCAGCUCA